GAUGAACGCUGGCGGCGUGCCUAAUACAUGCAAGUCGAGCGAACGGACGAGAAGCUUGCUUCUCUGAUGUUAGCGGCGGACGGGUGAGUAACACGUGGAUAACCUACCUAUAAGACUGGGAUAACUUCGGGAAACCGGAGCUAAUACCGGAUAAUAUUUUGAACCGCAUGGUUCAAAAGUGAAAGACGGUCUUGCUGUCACUUAUAGAUGGAUCCGCGCUGCAUUAGCUAGUUGGUAAGGUAACGGCUUACCAAGGCAACGAUGCAUAGCCGACCUGAGAGGGUGAUCGGCCACACUGGAACUGAGACACGGUCCAGACUCCUACGGGAGGCAGCAGUAGGGAAUCUUCCGCAAUGGGCGAAAGCCUGACGGAGCAACGCCGCGUGAGUGAUGAAGGUCUUCGGAUCGUAAAACUCUGUUAUUAGGGAAGAACGUAUAUGUAAGUAACUGUGCACAUCUUGACGGUACCUAAUCAGAAAGCCACGGCUAACUACGUG
RNAcentral lists this ribosomal RNA (497 nucleotides) under uncultured bacterium. Its description in RNAcentral is "partial 16S ribosomal RNA". It matches the Rfam family "Bacterial small subunit ribosomal RNA", at positions 28 to 507 of the family's 1533-position model. The record is from RNAcentral.